UGUUCUGGUGACCUAGUUGUUAGAGCAUCUGCCUCGAAUGCAAGAAGUCGCUGGUUUGAACCCCAGCCCAGUCAA
Molecule: non-coding RNA, 75 nt
Organism: Potamilus streckersoni
Lineage: Eukaryota; Metazoa; Mollusca; Bivalvia; Unionida; Unionidae
Source: the annotation of a GenBank genome assembly